Molecule: long non-coding RNA, 1827 nt
Filed under: Homo sapiens (human)
Lineage: Eukaryota; Metazoa; Chordata; Mammalia; Primates; Hominidae
Description: PREDICTED lncRNA (TCONS_00152175)
Source: RNAcentral
AACAACAACUGGGAAGCCUUCUCAGCUACACUUCGGGGCACUGGUCCAACCCCACGCAAAAUCCCUCGUUUCCCUUAGCGUGCAGAACCACGGGCACGGUGAUGAUGGUGACAAGCGCAGCAGCACCCAGCAGUCCCAGAAGAACCUUCCACGGUGUCUGCAAGCCGAGCAGAUCAAGUCCAAUUAGAGGGAAGCGUGUGGCCCCAGUUUCCGUAGGAGGGUCGGGGCUGCUCCAGAGGCAGCAGGAUUUGCAGGAAGGAAGACUGUACACAGAGAAUAAAUAACUUGGCCAAGCCAUUCAGCUAGGAAGUUGUAGAUCCUAAAUUAAGAGUUCAAGGUCUUAAUGGCUACUCUAUGCGGCCUCUCAUAGUCUUUUCAAGGGUUUUGGAGAAGAAUAAAAGAUCAGGUAUGGCUUCUCCCUCCCCCAGCUCUCUAUUGUUCCCUAAAGGAUUAUUCAUUCGUUCAUUCAUUCCUACAUCCUCCCAUUUAUUCCAGUCAUCCACAGAUGUUUGAGUGGUUACAAUGUGCCAGCCUCCCUUCUAGGUACUGGAGAUAAAGUGGGACAAGAGAGGUGAGGUCUGGACCCUUGGCACUUUCACGAUAAAAUACACAGGUAAACAUUUGCCUUUAGGGCCCCCUGUGAUUACUUCCACUCUUGCAGAUAAGAGGAUAAGGCCUCUUCAGCUUGUUCACAGCAGCUGAAAAGCAAAGCCUCUCUGUCAGUAGAGGUAAAAGAUUAAGAAUGCAGAGUCCGAUGGGGCAUUACCACAUGAUUAUGAAUUAAUGCAAUUUUCCAUCUUUUAUUUCCAAUCCAGGCAUUGCUUUUGAACUCAGUCAUCUUUUCCCCCUUGCCCACUAGUUGCUUGUGAUACAUCAGUAUCCUCACUCACCCCCAACUCCAGAGGCUGAAACUAACUCUCCUCCUCCCUCUUCCAACUGCUGAGGAAGAUGAGUCAAUGGUGUUACUGGACCCUGUGAACUGAUGCUGUGAAGAGAGGCCAUUUAACACGGACUACGGGGAAUGGUGCCACAGGGGGCUCAGUGCUGCCCUUCACUCUCAGCAUUUUGCUCACUCAGCAUUGAUGACAGGAUGUCCCAAAAGUAACAAAAGAUGGGAGCCAGUCCUCUCAUAGCUGUUUCUUCAAUCAUCCCAUCAACAGCUCUUCAUUUAUUGAACUACCUUCCUUUUCCAAAGAGGUAAUGCUGAGAUCAGUCAGAAAGGCUUUCUGAGAAAACUGGCUUGGAUUUCUGGGUCUGUUGCAGUCAAUUCAAGAUGAACUGGCUUGUAUCAAUGAAGCGCUCAAUGCAGUUCACAAAACAGGCCUCAGCCCGACUGUCCAACUUUGGCCCAGGCUUGUCCAUGCACUUCUCCCAACAAAGUUCAGUCAUCUGGUGCACCAGCUGCUGGAAGCGCUGCUUUUGAGUCUCUACCUCAAUGAAAAUGCUGCAACUGCGGGUCCACUGCACCCAAACCCGCCGCAGAGGAAGAGCAGGAGGAAUCCAUCCCAGGACAACCAUGCUUGCAGAGACGAACUCCGCACCAACCUUCACGUGUCUCCACGACCUAGUUAAUCAAUUUAAAAUGAGGUCACUAGGGUGGGCCCCAAUCCAAUAUGACUGAUAACUUUAUAAAAAGGAGAGAUUUGGAUACAGAAAGAGACAGAGUGAAAACCAUGUGAAGAAACAUAGGAAAAGAUGGCAGCUACAAGCCAAGGAGAAGCUUGCAGUGUGUAUUCAUCUGUUCUCAUGCUGUUAAUAAAGACAUACCUGAGACUGGGUAAUUUAUAAAGGAAAGAAACUUAAUUGACUCACACUUCCACAUGCUGG